Phoenix dactylifera (date palm) is the source of this 2780-nucleotide non-coding RNA. The record is from RefSeq and is a predicted model, not a curated record. NCBI's taxonomy places the organism in Eukaryota, Viridiplantae, Streptophyta, Magnoliopsida, Arecales, Arecaceae.
CGGCAUCGUUGGCCACAUGAUUUUAUUAGACGCCCAUCGUCUCGUGUUCAAGUCCCUCGCACUCUUAUUCUAUUAGACGCCCGGAAGUCCACAUUCUAAAACCCUAAAGCAAACUCUUUACCGACGAGACGACGCCUCCGAAGCCUCCUCCCUCUCCCUCCAUGGCCACCAAGAAGCGCAAGGUCGACCAAGAGGACGACCUCCUCUCCGCCCCCAACCACGACAUCGACCCCCAAUCCCUCGACUCCUCCGCUGCCGCCGCUGCCGCCGGUGGGACGACGGCACCGCCUCCGGAUGCCGUGGAGGACGACGAGGCAGACGAAGAGGAGGAGGACGUCGGGAAGCUCCUGGAGCCCCUCUCGAAGGAGCAGCUGAUCUCGCUCCUCCGCUCCGCCGCCGCCUCGGACCCGGCCACCCUCGCCGAGAUCCACCGACUCGCCGACCUGGACCCUGCCCACCGGAAGCUCUUCGUCCACGGCCUGGGCUGGGAUACCACCUCCGACGGUCUCCGCGCCGCCUUCGCCCGCUACGGUGAGAUCGAAGACUGCCGCGUCGUCGUCGACAAAGCCAGCGGCCGCUCUAAGGGCUACGGCUUCCUCCUCUUCCGCCACCGCCGCUCCGCCCGCCGCGCCCUCUGCCAACCCCAGAAGCUCAUCGACAACCGCAUGACCGCCUGCCAGCUCGCAUCUGCCGGCCCCCCUGGCGCCGCCUCCCACCCCCCGCCGCCCCAUCACCACACCGCAUCCUCCAACCCUAACCCUAACUUUAACCCUAGCGCGGUUCUCCAGGACAACCUCCCGAGGAAGAUCUACGUUGGGAACGUCCACUCCAACGUCGACGGCGCCCGCCUCCAUGCCUUCUUCUCCAAGUACGGGGAGAUCGAGGAAGGCCCUAUUGGCUUCGAUCGCCAGACCGGAAAGCCUAAGGGAUUCGCCCUCUUCGUCUAUAAAACGGUGGAGGGCGCUCGGAGGGCCCUCGAGGAGCCCAAUAAGAACUUCGAGGGCCACCUGCUCUACUGCCAGAAGGCCACCGAUAGCAAGACUAAGGCAACAGCUGGGGCGGUGGCGGCCCCCCCGGCCCAUGCCGCCACCGCUCCAAAUGUGCCGUCGAGCAUGAGUGGUUUCAAUGCGUCUGGAUUUGGUGGCAACCCGCCAGAUAUGGGUUUGGCGCAACAAGCUGCAAUUUUGGGGCAAGGAUUUCUGGGUGUUGGCGGGACACAAGGCUUUGGACAAGGGAUGUCGCCAAAUGCUGCAGCGCUCGCAAUGCUGGCAGCAGCAGGGCAGAAUCCUGGAUCUUUCGCUAUAAAUCCUGCCGUCCUUGCAUCACUGAACCCUGCUUUGGCGGCAGCAUUGGGUGCCGGAGGCCAGCAGGCUGUGCCUCCUUCUGCAGCCCCUCAGACAGCUCCAGCACAGAGUUAUGGAACGGGGAACAUGGGGUACCAGAAUGCUGGGUUUCAGGGGCCUCCAGGAUUUCAAGGGCCUCCAGGGUUUCAGGGUCCUCCGGGAUUUCAAGGCAAUCAGCCAGUGUCUCAACAGGUUGUUGGUGGAAGUGGUGGUUCUUAUCAGACAGGCCCUGGUGGACAGGGCCCUUUGCCAAGGCCAUCAGUCGGGCACAUGGGUGGAUAUGCACCACAUUAAGGUUCAACUGUCCAGCAUGGCAUACUUUUCAUCGUUUGAUCUCUGAACUUGUACAUUGAUAGAUGAGCUUCCAUCAACAUUAUGUCAUGCUGUAGACAUACUCUCGCUGCAUCACUUUGGCUCAUGGCUUACAAUUCGUCAGUUGGUAUUUGAACAUGUGUAAUGAUGGAAUGAGGUCUCAUCAACAAUGUUCAUGUUGUGCAUGUCGUGUGGAGUACUGCUAUAUACUUACACUAUUGUAUAUAUGUAGUUGGGGGCCAGUAUUAAUUCUAACACGGACCAAGUGGAGGUCUCAGAUGCAACCGUUAAAUAUUAGAAAUGAGAUAUCUUGAAUUCUUGGAGACUACUUGAUGCUUCCAGGCCACAAUGGAAAAAGGGGAAACAUAGAAAAAAUGAAAAUUAGCUGGACCAUCUGACUGGAGAUUCUAAGGUAGUAUAUAUGAAUGUUAUAAUAAUUCCUAUAAUGUUGAACAGAAAUAAAAGAGAAAAACCUUUAAUAAUUCCUCUUACGUUUUCUACUAUGGAUUCCAGUCUGUCAGGUGCUAUGGGUGGCAACACCUCUGCCACAAAAGAAUGACCUAGUAGGUCCUCUACUUACAUCACUAACUGAUGAGCCUAUUUUACAUUGCACACCUGAUGGAUUGACAGCCAAUUGAGUGUUCCGUGGCAAAAGUCGCAACUGAGAAAGAUGUCCGCUGAACCUCAGGCACGUGUGCUUGAAGAAAUGAUGUAAGUAUCAGAUAAUUGGCAGUUCCUUGACCUGUCUAAAUUCAGCAUCACUCGUAAUCAUUAUCCCUGUGCUUUAACUGAUAAAUGUGCUUCCAAUAUGUUAUGCGUUAUCUUUAUUGUCUAAUGACGGAACUGAAUUUAGCUACUUAUUAAUCAUCAGAAAACAGCACUGCGAAGAAAGAAACCAAUAUGCCACAUAGCAUGUAACUAGGCAGGUUGUAAGUGCAGUUAUAGCUCUUGUUUUUUAAGAGGUUGUGGUGCUCAGAUCAACUGGGCAGGUUGUAAGCACCUUACUGAAUUCUGUUUUCCAGGCAAUUUUACUGUACACGGAUAAUGGUGCAUGUGGAGACACGGUUCUUGUUAUUUAUGCCAGCGCUCAUUUUUUUCAUGGGCAUGCUGCCAUGAUUAACUCCA